Gadus chalcogrammus (walleye pollock) is the source of this 1591-nucleotide long non-coding RNA. RefSeq lists it as uncharacterized. The transcript has 3 exons. Lineage: Eukaryota; Metazoa; Chordata; Actinopteri; Gadiformes; Gadidae. The record is from RefSeq and is a predicted model, not a curated record.
UGAUGGCACCUGUCAAAGUUAUCACCACAGUUAUGUGCGAAGAUGAGCAGCCCACAAUUUCGUUGAUUGCCCCCUUCAAAGCAAAACUAAAGAAUCACUUUGAGGCCACUACUGAGGACACAGGGCUCAUUAAGGAUAUGAAGAAGGUGUUCCUCGAAGAUUUUGUUAAGCGGUACACAAACAUUGAAGACCUGUUGUGUACUGCAUCAGCUUUGGAUCCACGCUUCAAAACCCUGCCUUUCCUCAGUGACCGUGAGACCGAGAGGAUCUUCUUGUCCAUUACAGAUGAAGCUACAAACCUGCAUGAUAAGAAAGUAGAGGAGAGCCAUCCCAGUCCGAGUGAUAUUCAAGAGCCAGAUCAGAGAGACCCAACAUCCGUCCAGUCCAGCCCAGUCCAGGUCCAUGAAGAACCAAGAGGUGAUUGUCCUCCUUGUAAAAAGAGGAAAAGUACAGCACUGGACCAGCUGUUUGGAGAAACAUAUGUGGUAAGACCAUCAAGAAGCUCCAGGGAGAAGGUCAGCGAGGAAAUCCUGAGGUACAGAGAGAGAAACCUUUUGCCCCUGAAUGGCAAUCCACUGGAGUGGUGGAGAGCACAGGUCGACUUACCAUUGUUGUCAGAUAUUGCAAAAAGAUACCUCUGCAUACCAGCUACAAGUGUAGCAUCAGAAAGAGUUUUCAGUACCGCAGGAGAUAUUGUUUCCUCUCAACGCAGUGUACUUAGGGGUGACCAUGCCGAUCAAUUGAUUUUUCUCAAGAAGAAUCUUAAAAAACUCGAGCACAAAUGAAUUAUUAGGAGGUAGCUAAAGGAUAUCAGCAUACACUAAAUGUCCUACAAGAAUUGUAUUAGUUCUACUUAUAUAUUUUUUUUUUCUCCUUAUGCUGUGUUUGGCAGCAAUUUGUGCCAUUACAUUAAAGUAAUAAUCUAGGCCAGGAUGGCGGUUUUGGUUUAAACAAAAUUAGAUAUUUCCUAUUGCUGCUUCUUACAGUUCACAGCUUUACUUCGUGUUUGCAGUGAUAUUUCCUAUUUUCUUACAGUUCGCAGCUCUAUUUGUGUUCUCAGUGAAAGGUUGCACAUGUAUUAAUUGGUAUAAUGAUACCUUAUCUUGAGUCUGUAUGAUUUGCAGAGGCACUUAAUUUGCAGAAGCAUUUAUUCUAAAUAUGAGAAAAGGCCAAGGUCUAGCUCUGUUUUAUUUUAUUUUUGUAUUGUCAUCCAUCAACAAGGGACUUCUUUGGGUAUAGAAAAUAUAUUUUAUUUUACUAUUUUAUUUAAUAUUUAAAUAUAAUUUUUUUGUAUUUCCUUAUGGUGUAUUUAUUUGGCUGCAAUGUGUGCCAUUACUGAAAUGUAUUUUUUUUUUGUAUAUGUGAGACAAACUACAUACAGACUAAUUUCACAAUAAAAUGUUUGUUCAUAUUCAUUGAACAAAUGAAAAGAACUCUUUCAGAAUAUUUUCAAUUAUUGAACUGCAUCGAAUCGCAUCGCAUCGCAUCGCAUCGAAUCGCACUGAAUCGUUUUUUAACAACAUGCAUCUUUUCUUAUAUCGUAUCGUGACCAUGUAUCGAGAUACGAAUCGGAUCGUUUUUUUCAUGAGAG